UCAACCUGAGAGUUUGAUCCUGGCUCAGAGCGAACGCUGGCGGCAGGCCUAACACAUGCAAGUCGAACGGACCCUUCGGGGUUAGUGCGGACGGGUGAGUAACACGUGGGAACGUGCCUUUU
Molecule: ribosomal RNA, 122 nt
Filed under: Caulobacteraceae bacterium
Lineage: Bacteria; Pseudomonadati; Pseudomonadota; Alphaproteobacteria; Caulobacterales; Caulobacteraceae
Description: partial 16S ribosomal RNA
Rfam family: Bacterial small subunit ribosomal RNA
Source: RNAcentral